CGCGGACGCCAGUACCGGGCUCCAGGAGACGCAGGGCGACGCCACACGUCGGGGUGGCCGACUGGGUCAGCGCGGGCUGCGCCUCCUCGCCAUGGGCCCCCUCUCGGCGCGGCUGCUAAUGCAGCGCGGGCGCCCCAAGAGCGACCGGCUGGGGAAGAUCCGGAGUCUGGACCUGUCAGGAUUGGAGCUGCUUUCCGAGCACCUGGACCCCAAGCUCCUGUGCCGCCUGACGCAGCUGCAGGAGCUUGACCUGUCUAACAACCACCUGGAGACGCUGCCGGACAACCUGGGCCUGUCCCACCUGCGUGUCCUCCGCUGCGCCAACAACCAGCUGGGGGAUGUUACUGCCUUGUGCCAGUUCCCCAAGCUCGAGGAACUCAGCCUGGAGGGCAACCCCUUCCUGACGGUAAG
RNAcentral lists this long non-coding RNA (411 nucleotides) under Pan troglodytes (chimpanzee). Its description in RNAcentral is "long non-coding RNA NONPTRT015800". The record is from RNAcentral. Lineage: Eukaryota; Metazoa; Chordata; Mammalia; Primates; Hominidae.